RNAcentral lists this ribosomal RNA (433 nucleotides) under uncultured bacterium. RNAcentral's name for it is "partial 16S ribosomal RNA". It matches the Rfam family "Bacterial small subunit ribosomal RNA", at positions 29 to 507 of the family's 1533-position model. The record is from RNAcentral.
AACGAACGCUAGCGGCAUGCCUAACACAUGCAAGUCGAACGAGACCUUCGGGUCUAGUUGCGCAGGGGUGCGUAACGCGUUGGAACCUGCCCUUAGGUUCUGAAUAACUCCCCGAAAGAGGUGCUAGUACCGGAGAAUGUCUUCGCACCAAAGAUUUAUCGCCUUUGGAUGGGCCCGCGUAGGAUUAGCUAGUUGGUAGGGUAAAAGCCUACCAUGGCGACGAUCCAUAGCUGGUAUGAGAGGAUGAUCAGCCACACUGGGACUGAGACACGGCCCAGACUCGUACGGGAGGCAGCAGUGGGGAAUAUUGGACAAUGGGCGAAAGCCUGAUACAGCAAUGCCGCGUGAGUGAUGAAGGCCUUAGGGUUGUAAAGCUCUUUUAACCGGGAUGAUACUGACAGUACCGGGAGAAUAAGCGCCGGCUAACUCCGUG